UUAUAUGGUCAAGUGAAUAAGC
This 22-nucleotide ribosomal RNA is filed under the name uncultured Gammaproteobacteria bacterium. Its description in RNAcentral is "partial 23S ribosomal RNA". Lineage: Bacteria; Pseudomonadati; Pseudomonadota; Gammaproteobacteria. The record is from RNAcentral.